Non-coding RNA from Trichobilharzia regenti, 46 nucleotides. Lineage: Eukaryota; Metazoa; Platyhelminthes; Trematoda; Strigeidida; Schistosomatidae. The record is from Rfam.
GUACUGUUGAAGAAUUCCAAACUAGGACGAAACAGCUGUCCAGUAC